RNAcentral lists this ribosomal RNA (677 nucleotides) under uncultured archaeon. Its description in RNAcentral is "bacterial SSU rRNA". It matches the Rfam family "Archaeal small subunit ribosomal RNA", at positions 321 to 999 of the family's 1478-position model. The record is from RNAcentral.
CCCUAUGGGGUGCAGCAGGCGAGAAAACUUUGCAAUGUGCGAAAGCACGACAAGGUUAAUCCGAGUGGUUUCUGCUAAAGGAACCUUUUGUCAGUCCUAGAAACACUGACGAAUAAGGGGUGGGCAAGUUCUGGUGUCAGCCGCCGCGGUAAAACCAGCACCUCAAGUGGUCAGGAUGAUUAUUGGGCCUAAAGCAUCCGUAGCCGGCUCUGUAAGUUUUCGGUUAAAUCUGUACGCUCAACGUACAGGCUGCCGGGAAUACUGCAGAGCUAGGGAGUGGGAGAGGUAGACGGUACUCGGUAGGAAGGGGUAAAAUCCUUUGAUCUAUUGAUGACCACCUGUGGCGAAGGCGGUCUACCAGAACACGUCCGACGGUGAGGGAUGAAAGCUGGGGGAGCAAACCGGAUUAGAUACCCGGGUAGCCCCAGCUGUAAACUAUGCAAACUCAGUGAUGCAUUGGCUUGUGGCCAAUGCAGUGCUGCAGGGAAGCCGUUAAGUUUGCCGCCUGGGAAGUACGUACGCAAGUAUGAAACUUAAAGGAAUUGGCGGGGGAGCACCACAAGGGGUGAAGCCUGCGGUUCAAUUGGAGUCAACGCCAGAAAUCUUACCCGGAGAGACAGCAGAAUGAAGGUCAAGCUGAAGACUUUACCAGACAAGCUGAGAGGUAGUGCAUGGCC